Non-coding RNA from Cyanistes caeruleus (blue tit), 859 nucleotides. The record is from RefSeq and is a predicted model, not a curated record. NCBI's taxonomy places the organism in Eukaryota, Metazoa, Chordata, Aves, Passeriformes, Paridae.
GGGGGUCUCAGGGGGUCUCUGAGGGGUUUCAGAGGAGUCUCAGUGGUUUUUGAGGGGUCUCUGAGGGGUCUCAGGGAUCUCUGAGAGGUUUCUGAGGUGUCUCACGGGUUUCUGAGGGGUCUCAGGGGUUUCUGAGGUGUCUCUGAGGGGUCUCUGAGGGUUUUCUGGGGGGUCUCAGGGGUCUCUGAGGGGUCUCAGGGUUUUUUGAGGGGUCUCAUUGGUUUCUGAGGGGUCUCAUCCGUGCUCUCUCCCUUCCUCCUGGAGCCCUGGACCGGAUGAAGACGUUGGACAGGGACGCCUCCAUCCGCUGCCUGGCGGCUCAGACCGCUUUGCUUCUCGACUCCCUGAGGCAGCGGCGGCGGCCACCGCGCGGGUUCCUGCGCGGGCUGUGCCGCUGGUGCCGCUGAGCCGCGACGGGGGACGCCGACACCCGCCGGAUCCUCCUCGGCUGUGGAAAGCCCGCCCUCCUUUCCCGAGGCCUCCUCCUCAGGCCUUCUCCUCGUGCCUCCCCCAGACUCAAAAUGAAAGGUGGAGAGACGCCCCCCAGGCCUGGGGAAGCUGCUGGGAUUGUUUUUCACGCCAUUUUAGAAGGAAAAUGCAGUUUUAUGGCUCUGGAUGUGCCCGCUUGGAGCUCAAGAAAGAAUUUAAAAUAUUGAGGGCCAGAGAGGAGAAUCCCGGGUGCUCAAACUGUCUAAAACGCUUGGAGAUGAUUCAGUCUCAGAAUUUGAAAUGUUGAGGGCCAGAGAGGAGAAUCCUGAGGGCUCAAAACGCUUGGAGAUGAUUCGGUGUGGCUUUUAGUACCAACUACAGCUCUAAAAAGUUCAUUCCCUUAUGUAUAUAUUUUACAUAUGUAAAUAUA